UACGUAGGGUGCAAGCGUUAUCCGGAAUUAUUGGGCGUAAAGAGCUCGUAGGCGGUUUGUCGCGUCUGCUGUGAAAACUGGAGGCUCAACCUCCAGCCUGCAGUGGGUACGGGCAGACUAGAGUGCGGUAGGGGAGAUUGGAAUUCCUGGUGUAGCGGUGGAAUGCGCAGAUAUCAGGAGGAACACCGAUGGCGGAAGGCAGAUCUCUGGGCCGUAACUGACGCUGAGGAGCGAAAGCAUGGGGAGCGAACAGG
Molecule: ribosomal RNA, 254 nt
Filed under: uncultured bacterium
Lineage: Bacteria
Description: partial 16S ribosomal RNA
Rfam family: Bacterial small subunit ribosomal RNA
Source: RNAcentral